GACGAACGCUGGCGGCGUGCUUAACACAUGCAAGUCGAACGGAAAGGCCCUGCUUUUGUGGGGUGCUCGAGUGGCGAACGGGUGAGUAACACGUGAGUAACCUGCCCUUGACUUUGGGAUAACUUCAGGAAACUGGGGCUAAUACCGGAUAGGAGCUCCUGCUGCAUGGUGGGGGUUGGAAAGUUUCGGCGGUUGGGGAUGGACUCGCGGCUUAUCAGCUUGUUGGUGGGGUAGUGGCUUACCAAGGCUUUGACGGGUAGCCGGCCUGAGAGGGUGACCGGCCACAUUGGGACGGAGAUACGGCCCAGACUCCUACGGGAGGCAGCAGUGGGGAAUAUUGCACAAUGGGCGGAAGCCUGAUGCAGCAACGCCGCGUGCGGGAUGACGGCCUUCGGGUUGUAAACCGCUUUCGCCGGUGACGAAGCGUGAGUGACGGUAAUGGGUAAAGAAGCACCGGCUAACUACGUG
This 468-nucleotide ribosomal RNA is filed under the name uncultured bacterium. RNAcentral describes it as "partial 16S ribosomal RNA". It matches the Rfam family "Bacterial small subunit ribosomal RNA", at positions 28 to 507 of the family's 1533-position model. The record is from RNAcentral.